Molecule: ribosomal RNA, 433 nt
Filed under: Escherichia coli
Lineage: Bacteria; Pseudomonadati; Pseudomonadota; Gammaproteobacteria; Enterobacterales; Enterobacteriaceae
Description: partial 23S ribosomal RNA
Rfam family: Bacterial large subunit ribosomal RNA
Source: RNAcentral
GGUUAAGCGACUAAGCGUACACGGUGGAUGCCCUGGCAGUCAGAGGCGAUGAAGGACGUGCUAAUCUGCGAUAAGCGUCGGUAAGGUGAUAUGAACCGUUAUAACCGGCGAUUUCCGAAUGGGGAAACCCAGUGUGUUUCGACACACUAUCAUUAACUGAAUCCAUAGGUUAAUGAGGCGAACCGGGGGAACUGAAACAUCUAAGUACCCCGAGGAAAAGAAAUCAACCGAGAUUCCCCCAGUAGCGGCGAGCGAACGGGGAGCAGCCCAGAGCCUGAAUCAGUGUGUGUGUUAGUGGAAGCGUCUGGAAAGGCGCGCGAUACAGGGUGACAGCCCCGUACACAAAAAUGCACAUACUGUGAGCUCGAUGAGUAGGGCGGGACACGUGGUAUCCUGUCUGAAUAUGGGGGGACCAUCCUCCAAGGCUAAAUAC